This 2155-nucleotide long non-coding RNA is filed under the name Homo sapiens (human). RNAcentral's name for it is "HSALNT0387081". The record is from RNAcentral. Lineage: Eukaryota; Metazoa; Chordata; Mammalia; Primates; Hominidae.
CUGCAAGCUCGGCCUUCCGGGUUUAUGCCAUUCUCCUGCCUCAGCCUCCUGAGUAGCUGGGACUACAGGCGCCCACCACCACACCUGGCUAAUUUUUUGUAUUUUUAGCAGAGAAGGGGUUUCACUGCAUUAGCCAGGAUGAUCUCGAUCUCCUGACCUCAAGUGAUCCGCCCGCCUCGGCCUCCCAAAGUGCUGGGAUUACAGGCGUGAGCCACCGCGCCCGGCCAAUUUCUAAGGCUCCAUUAGGGCUAAGGUUCAUGUAUCCAUGGUGAAGUAUAGAAGAACUCAGAAUCGUUCCAAACAUAAUGGGCUUGGAGUAAUGGAGAACUCCAAGGGCAGGAGGUAACCAUUAAAGAGGACCAUCAUGUAGUGUGAGGAGUCAACAUUUCACACUAGAAAGCCCUUGGUUCAAGUUUUGUCUCUGCCACCUACAGAUUUUGUAACCCUGAGGAAACUAGCUACCUCUUUAUGUACUGCCCUAUGGAGAGGCACACAUGUCAAGAAACUGAGGGAGUGCCUUCCAGUCAACAGCCAGCCAGGAACUAAGGUGCUCAGUACAGCAGCCUCCACAAAGGACUGAACAAUGCCAACAGCUAUUUGACUGUGCUUGGAAGAUCUCCGUUUAGUUAACCCUUCAGAUGAGACCGCAGCCCUGGCCAGCAAACAAAUUGCAGCCUAUGGAAAGACCUUAAGGCAGAAGCACCCAACUGAACCACCCGAGGGCUCUGACUUACAGAAACUGUGAGCAUAUAGUGAAAUGGCCUCUACCUUAUUUUGAAUGGAUUUCUGGGAUAAAGUUCUUCAGUGAUAACAUGUUUGAAGUUUCAGGAAAGAGGCACUGGCCUUUACUUCUCCACCUCGAUUCACUUCCAUGCUGUUGACAAAUGUUAUAGUUGCCCAGGAUCAGAGGGAGAGACUGACCCUGUGACCAUUUCCCCAAAGGCGGCCUUUGGCCACUCCGUGCACUGGAGCACAUGACCCUCUGCCUCGCCCCUGCCACAUUAACCAGGCGGCUAUCUUAUGUGCCCAUGUUACAUGCUCAUGAUAAAGCUGCAUUUCCUGAGGGGACACCAAUGGAUACACCUCUGCCUGGCACGCAGCUUAGAGGCUAAAUGUAUGAAAAGCAACACCAUGCAAAUCAUUUUGAAACUGCUGUGGAACUCUCACGGGACCCUCCAUUCUAGACAUCCAGUCCCACUAGUGAUCUGACCAUGAAACCUACUAAGAGACUUCCAGAAGAAGAUGACCUCUGAAAGGAGAAAACUUUCUUCCAAGCUUCUGUGGAACAAGAAGAUGCCAUCCCUUUGGUGGAGCCCAAAGGGAAACCAGGACACUGAAGGAAUUAACCAGAAAGAAAAGAAGAGAAGAAGGAGAAGAAAGAAGAAGAAGAAGAAGGAGAAGGAGAAGGAGACGAGGGAAGAGGGAGAAGAGAGAGAAGAGGGAGGAAAAGAAGAAGAAGAAGAAGAAGAAGAAGAGGAAGAAGGGGAGGAAGGAGAAAGGAGGAAGGAGGAGGAGGAGAAGAAGAAGAGGAGGAGGAAGAAGAAAAUUGAGAUCAUUUGUACAAAUCUUGAAACCAAAGCACAGCCUGUAUGAACCCAUGUUGAACCCUGGACUUUCAGGACUACUGUAUGGCUAACCACAGCCCUGCAAGGCCAGGCUCAGCAUGUCACAGUUUUGCCACUGAACAAGAAUCUUUCGAAGGAUCGCAAAUACUACAUGGAAAAUGACUGUAUUCUUUCUGCAAGGCCACUCUCUUAGACAUCACCCUAACAAAAACAAUUACGGGUUGGAAGAGGAGAAAGGAUGCAAAGUUUGUGCCUUGACCUAAAAAAGGUCAUGAGCACCUCUACCGGUUCUUGGAAACAUUAGUUGCAGUGGAUCUCAAAUUCUAUUGCGCAAAAGAACGACCUGGUGACCCUCUAAAAGUGUAGAUUCUCUGGUUUCACCCCUAGACCUUGUGACUCACAUGUCCAGUGAGGCCAGGAACUCCUCACUGUUAACCUGUGCCCUAUUUUAACAAGCCCUGCUGGGAGUCGGGAUGUUGGGGGUCCCCACACCACACUGAAAUAGAGGAAUUCCCUGCUCAAAGAUCCCGUUAUGUCCUGAUUACAAUCUGCAAUGAGAUUAUGAAAUCAUUAAAUCAUGAUUAAGCCAA